UAUGGCUCAGGAUGAACGCUAGCUACAGGCUUAACACAUGCAAGUCGAGGGGCAGCAUAACGAAAGCUUGCUUUGUUGAUGGCGACCGGCGCACGGGUGAGUAACGCGUAUCCAACCUUCCCUAUAGUAGAGAAUAGCCCGGCGAAAGUCGGAUUAAUGCUCUAUGUUCUUCUUUGAUGGCAUCUGAGGAGAAGCAAAGGUUCACCGCUAUAGGAUGGGGAUGCGUCUGAUUAGGUAGUCGGCGGGGUAACGGCCCACCGAGCCAACGAUCAGUAGGGGUUCUGAGAGGAAGGUCCCCCACAUUGGUACUGAGACACGGACCAAACUCCUACGGGAGGCAGCAGUGAGGAAUAUUGGUCAAUGGGCGAGAGCCUGAACCAGCCAAGUAGCGUGCAGGACGACUGCCCUAUGGGUUGUAAACUGCUUUUAUGCGGGAAUAAAGUCCACUACGUGUAGUGGUUUGUAUGUACCGCAUGAAUAAGGACCGGCUAAUUCCGUGCCAGCCGCUGC
This 510-nucleotide ribosomal RNA is filed under the name uncultured bacterium. RNAcentral's name for it is "bacterial SSU rRNA". It matches the Rfam family "Bacterial small subunit ribosomal RNA", at positions 18 to 518 of the family's 1533-position model. The record is from RNAcentral.